This 253-nucleotide ribosomal RNA is filed under the name uncultured bacterium. Its description in RNAcentral is "partial 16S ribosomal RNA". It matches the Rfam family "Bacterial small subunit ribosomal RNA", at positions 524 to 776 of the family's 1533-position model. The record is from RNAcentral.
UACGUAGGGGACCAGCGUUGUCCGGAUUUAUUGGGCGUAAAGAGCGCGCAGGCGGUCGUUCAAGUCGAGUGUGAAAGCCCCCGGCUCAACUGGGGAGGGUCAUUCGAUACUGAUCGACUCGAAGGCAGGAGAGGGAAGCGGAAUUCCCGGUGUAGUGGUGAAAUGCGUAGAUAUCGGGAGGAACACCAGUGGCGAAGGCGACACGCUGGGCCGUACCUGACGCUAAAGCGCGACAGCAUGGGGAGCAAACGGG